This is a long non-coding RNA of Vicia villosa (hairy vetch), 1530 nucleotides long. RefSeq lists it as uncharacterized. NCBI's taxonomy places the organism in Eukaryota, Viridiplantae, Streptophyta, Magnoliopsida, Fabales, Fabaceae. The transcript is spliced from 5 exons. The record is from RefSeq and is a predicted model, not a curated record.
AUUAAAAAAAAGAAUUAUCCAUAAAGAAAAAUUCAACUAUGCGUUUCCUUUGCGAUCUAGCUUCGUCUCUUCCUCUCCGAUCGAUCUCCUGUGCAUCUUCAAUCCACUUCGUCUGCAUCUCCGAUCCACUUCGCCUGCAUCUCCAAUCGUCCUUGUCUGCAUCAAUCAAGAUCAUCUGCAUCUUCGUUCGACCUUGUCUGCAUCUCCGAUCGAUGUCUCUGUCUGCGAUCGAAUUCGUCUCAUUCUCGAUUAGAUCUUGUCCCAAUCAUAUUGAUCUAUUAUCCUCUCUCCAAUUCCAAUCGAUUUUCACAUUAUAUCAUCCUUGCUCAUUUUUUCAUAUGAAACCCUAAUCUAGCUGUUUAACAUCUAUAAUUGGUAUUUUGUCAAUUUCAGGUUCUUCCGGUUUCCGAUUGAAUUUGAAAUCCGCAUGUUCUGUUUUGAUUUUUUGUAUCCAGUUGAAGAAAAAAUAUUUGAAGCUUCAAAGAGUCACGAAAUGCUCUAAGAGAAGUUGUGAAGCUGCUUGAACAAAUCGUUAACAAGUUCCAAACUCAGAGUGUGAGCUUCAAAAAAGGGCCACCAAUAUGAGACAGUAUCAAGCUUUGUAUGUGGAAAUUUUGUUCCAUUCAUUAUGAGAGAAGCAAAGUGAUUUUUGAUAUGAAAAAUGAAGAUAUAUGAGUCCAAUUCCAAUACAAACUACCAGGAACAUAAAACACAUUUUUUACUUGAGAGUGGUCAUGGUCAAUUGGGCUAGGAAGAUGACUUUUCGACGGUGUUUUGUGAUUACAUCGGUAACUUCAUAAAGUCCGAUUUAAUGUGUUUUUGAGUCAAAAUUUGAUGCUGGCAAAAGGUCUGUGAGUGUUAUCAAAUUGCGGCGGCAUGGCCGCUAUGGCGGAUAUAUAUGUCAGUUUUUGGGCUUGCCGCAAUUGUAAAUAUCAGCCGAUAUUGCGUGUUUUUUCGCCAUAACCCGCUAUAACGGCGCCUCAAAGAGGCCGAUAUGGCAGGAUUCUGGCUCUCCGCCAUCGACCACACUCCUGUCUGACAUAAGAGUAUUUAUGGGGCCUGAAACCUUCCAAGGAUGGUUGAUCAGAUUUAAAGACACAACAACUCUUAUAUGUCAUUGGUAAGUUCAAAGGAUUAAUUUGUCAUGAAGUUGAAUUGAAUCCAAAGUAGAGACAUGAAGAAGAUGAACAUCACUACUACUUUAGAUUCUUUCCCACACCCUCUGAUUCACCAACCAACAACCGAAGUUCAGUUCCUUAGAGUAAUAUCUGUUAAGGCGGUCUCUAAGAGACCCAUAAGAUGUUCACGAGUUAUCAACACUUUUAUGUUAGUUGUUUUGUUAAACUACUGUAGUGUCAAAUGCUUAAAUGCAUAUUUGCAAAUGUAGAGUGAGUUAAUCAAAUGUGAGUAGUUUCAGUCUAUUGUAAACCGAUUUGUGAUGAAAUAAAAGUUAUGAUAAGUUAAGUUGAAAUAGAAUGUGAUUUUGAUGUAUUUUGGUUUUGUCAAUGAUAAUAUAAAAUUGAGUUUUGG